UUAAGCGACUAAGCGUACACGGUGGAUGCCCUGGCAGUCAGAGGCGAUGAAGGACGUGCUAAUCUGCGAAAAGCGUCGGUAAGGUGAUAUGAACCGUUAUAACCGGCGAUGUCCGAAUGGGGAAACCCAGUGCAAUUCGUUGCACUAUCGUUAACUGAAUACAUAGGUUAACGAGGCGAACCGGGGGAACUGAAACAUCUAAGUACCCCGAGGAAAAGAAAUCAACCGAGAUUCCCCCAGUAGCGGCGAGCGAACGGGGAGCAGCCCAGAGUCUGAAUCAGCUUGUGUGUUAGUGGAACGGUCUGGAAAGUCCGACGGUACAGGGUGAUAGUCCCGUACACCAAAAUGCACAGGCUGUGAACUCGAAGAGUAGGGCGGGACACGUGGUAUCCUGUCUGAAUAUGGGGGGACCAUCCUCCAAGGCUAAAUACUCCUGACUGACCGAUAGUGAACCAGUACCGUGAGGGAAAGGCGAAAAGAACCCCGGCGAGGGGAGUGAAAAAGAACCUGAAACCGUGUACGUACAAGCAGUGGGAGCACCUUCGGGUGUGACUGCGUACCUUUUGUAUAAUGGGUCAGCGACUUAUAUUCUGUAGCAAGGUUAACCGUAUAGGGGAGCCGCAGGGAAACCGAGUCUUAACUGGGCGUUAAGUUGCAGGGUAUAGACCCGAAACCCGGUGAUCUAGCCAUGGGCAGGUUGAAGGUUGGGUAACACUAACUGGAGGACCGAACCGACUAAUGUUGAAAAAUUAGCGGAUGACUUGUGGCUGGGGGUGAAAGGCCAAUCAAACCGGGAGAUAGCUGGUUCUCCCCGAAAGCUAUUUAGGUAGCGCCUCGUGAAUUCAUCUUCGGGGGUAGAGCACUGUUUCGGCUAGGGGGUCAUCCCGACUUACCAACCCGAUGCAAACUACGAAUACCGAAGAAUGUUAUCACGGGAGACACACGGCGGGUGCUAACGUCCGUCGUGAAGAGGGAAACAACCCAGACCGCCAGCUAAGGUCCCAAAGUCAUGGUUAAGUGGGAAACGAUGUGGGAAGGCACAGACAGCCAGGAUGUUGGCUUAGAAGCAGCCAUCAUUUAAAGAAAGCGUAAUAGCUCACUGGUCGAGUCGGCCUGCGCGGAAGAUGUAACGGGGCUAAACCAUGCACCGAAGCUGCGGCAGCGACACUAUGUGUUGUUGGGUAGGGGAGCGUUCUGUAAGCCUGCGAAGGUGGCCUGUGAGGGUUGCUGGAGGUAUCAGAAGUGCGAAUGCUGACAUAAGUAACGAUAAAGCGGGUGAAAAGCCCGCUCGCCGGAAGACCAAGGGUUCCUGUCCAACGUUAAUCGGGGCAGGGUGAGUCGACCCCUAAGGCGAGGCCGAAAGGCGUAGUCGAUGGGAAACAGGUUAAUAUUCCUGUACUUGGUGUUACUGCGAAGGGGGGACGGAGAAGGCUAUGUUAGCCGGGCGACGGUUGUCCCGGUUUAAGCAUGUAGGCUGGUUAUCCAGGCAAAUCCGGAUAAUCAAGGCUGAGGUGUGAUGACGAGGCACUACGGUGCUGAAGUAACAAAUGCCCUGCUUCCAGGAAAAGCCUCUAAGCAUCAGGUAACAUCAAAUCGUACCCCAAACCGACACAGGUGGUCAGGUAGAGAAUACCAAGGCGCUUGAGAGAACUCGGGUGAAGGAACUAGGCAAAAUGGUGCCGUAACUUCGGGAGAAGGCACGCUGGUGUGUAGGUGAAGUCCCUGCGGAUGGAGCUGAGACCAGUCGAAGAUACCAGCUGGCUGCAACUGUUUAUUAAAAACACAGCACUGUGCAAACACGAAAGUGGACGUAUACGGUGUGACGCCUGCCCGGUGCCGGAAGGUUAAUUGAUGGGGUUAUCCGUAAGGAGAAGCUCUUGAUCGAAGCCCCGGUAAACGGCGGCCGUAACUAUAACGGUCCUAAGGUAGCGAAAUUCCUUGUCGGGUAAGUUCCGACCUGCACGAAUGGCGUAAUGAUGGCCAGGCUGUCUCCACCCGAGACUCAGUGAAAUUGAACUCGCUGUGAAGAUGCAGUGUACCCGCGGCAAGACGGAAAGACCCCGUGAACCUUUACUAUAGCUUGACACUGAACAUUGAGCCUUGAUGUGUAGGAUAGGUGGGAGGCUUUGAAGCGUGGACGCCAGUCUGCGUGGAGCCAACCUUGAAAUACCACCCUUUAAUGUUUGAUGUUCUAACGUUGGCCCCUUACCGGGGUUGCGGACAGUGUCUGGUGGGUAGUUUGACUGGGGCGGUCUCCUCCCAAAGCGUAACGGAGGAGCACGAAGGUUAGCUAAUCCUGGUCGGACAUCAGGAGGUUAGUGCAAUGGCAUAAGCUAGCUUGACUGCGAGCGUGACGGCGCGAGCAGGUGCGAAAGCAGGUCAUAGUGAUCCGGUGGUUCUGAAUGGAAGGGCCAUCGCUCAACGGAUAAAAGGUACUCCGGGGAUAACAGGCUGAUACCGCCCAAGAGUUCAUAUCGACGGCGGUGUUUGGCACCUCGAUGUCGGCUCAUCACAUCCUGGGGCUGAAGUAGGUCCCAAGGGUAUGGCUGUUCGCCAUUUAAAGUGGUACGCGAGCUGGGUUUAGAACGUCGUGAGACAGUUCGGUCCCUAUCUGCCGUGGGCGCUGGAGAAUUGAGGGGGGCUGCUCCUAGUACGAGAGGACCGGAGUGGACGCAUCACUGGUGUUCGGGUUGUCAUGCCAAUGGCACUGCCCGGUAGCUAAAUGCGGAAGAGAUAAGUGCUGAAAGCAUCUAAGCACGAAACUUGCCCCGAGAUGAGUUCUCCCUGAGACUUUAAGUCUCCUGAAGGAACGUUAAAGACGAUGACGUUGAUAGGCCGGGUGUGUAAGCGCAGCGAUGCGUUGAGCUAACCGGUACUAAUGAACCGUGAGGCUUAACCUU
This 2900-nucleotide ribosomal RNA is filed under the name Klebsiella pneumoniae. Its description in RNAcentral is "23S ribosomal RNA". It matches the Rfam family "Bacterial large subunit ribosomal RNA". The record is from RNAcentral. Lineage: Bacteria; Pseudomonadati; Pseudomonadota; Gammaproteobacteria; Enterobacterales; Enterobacteriaceae.